RNAcentral lists this ribosomal RNA (439 nucleotides) under uncultured bacterium. RNAcentral's name for it is "partial 16S ribosomal RNA". It matches the Rfam family "Bacterial small subunit ribosomal RNA", at positions 339 to 795 of the family's 1533-position model. The record is from RNAcentral.
CUACGAGUCGCAGCAGUGGGGAAUAUUGCACAAUGGAGGAAACUCUGAUGCAGCAACGCCGCGUGGAGGAUGACACUUUUCGGAGCGUAAACUCCUUUUAUAUAGGAAGAAGAUGACGGUACUAUAUGAAUAAGCGCCGGCUAACUCCGUGCCAGCAGCCGCGGUAAUACGGAGGGCGCAAGCGUUACUCGGAAUCACUGGGCGUAAAGAGCGUGUAGGCGGAUUAAAGAGUCAGAAGUGAAAUCCUAUAGCUUAACUAUAGAACUGCUUCUGAAACUCUUAAUCUAGAAUGUGGGAGAGGUAGAUGGAAUUUCUGGUGUAGGGGUAAAAUCCGUAGAGAUCAGAAGGAAUACCGAUUGCGAAGGCGAUCUACUAGAACAUUAUUGACGCUGAGACGCGAAAGCGUGGGGAGCAAACAGGAUUAGAUACCCCCGUAGUC